Molecule: small RNA, 145 nt
Filed under: Pseudomonas cichorii
Lineage: Bacteria; Pseudomonadati; Pseudomonadota; Gammaproteobacteria; Pseudomonadales; Pseudomonadaceae
Description: Pseudomonas sRNA P14
Rfam family: Pseudomonas sRNA P14
Source: RNAcentral
GUGGAUAGUUUUUAUACAAUUUGCUUGAGAAGUAGUGCGGAACACUUUCAAAGCCAAGAUUUUUAUCCCUUCUUGCGCUUCGUCAGUUUACUUACUACAAACAAUGGGUACUAUGUACGCCGGUCAUUUUCUCACUUUCGAGAGA